AGCAAAUUUGUCAGGAGAGAAGCAUGGCUUCUUGAGACAAACCCAGGCUGCUAAGAAUGUAAGCUCUGGUCUCACUUUGCGUUCCAGCCACACGCCUAAGUGCUCCUUCCUAUGACCAAAGAAUUCCUCACUGAUUAAAAUCUGGUUACAAAACAAGGGACCUAGAGAUGUUCACUUCGCUACUUCUCUGCAGAUGCCUCCUGCUGCUUCCAGCUUUUCUCCUUUAAAGCAGGGUGAAUCCAAAUCAUGGUCUCAGCCCUGAAGGAGGCACCAAAGCAGUUUCACUGCCCUGUGAAAAGCUUCUAGAGGAGCUCAUCUGAAUGCUU
RNAcentral lists this small RNA (326 nucleotides) under Pongo abelii (Sumatran orangutan). RNAcentral describes it as "processed transcript". Lineage: Eukaryota; Metazoa; Chordata; Mammalia; Primates; Hominidae. The record is from RNAcentral.